Molecule: signal recognition particle RNA, 148 nt
Filed under: Pan troglodytes (chimpanzee)
Lineage: Eukaryota; Metazoa; Chordata; Mammalia; Primates; Hominidae
Description: Metazoan signal recognition particle RNA
Rfam family: Metazoan signal recognition particle RNA
About the family: The signal recognition particle (SRP) is a universally conserved ribonucleoprotein. It is involved in the co-translational targeting of proteins to membranes. The eukaryotic SRP consists of a 300-nucleotide 7S RNA and six proteins: SRPs 72, 68, 54, 19, 14, and 9.
Source: Rfam by way of RNAcentral
GUCGGGCGUGGUGGUGAAUGCCUGUAGUCCCAGCUACUUGGGAGGCUGAGGCAGGAGAAUCCCUUGAACCUGGGAGGCCUAGGUUGCAGUGAGCCAAGAUUGCGCCACUGCACUCCAGCCUAGGUGACAGAGCGAGACUCUGUCUCAA